GAGAGUAAAACAGUACGUGAAAUUGUUGAAAGGGAAACGCUUGAAGUCAGUCGUGCCGGCGUUGGAUUCAGCUUGCUUCGCGGAGCAGGCGCAUUUCCGCGCAUGGCAGGUCAGCGUCAGUUUUGCGCGGCGUGAAAAGGCUCGGGUAAGGUGGCUCUCUUCGGGGAGUGUUAUAGACCUGGGCAGAUGCGCUGCGCGGGACUGAGGAUUGCAGCGGACACCCCCUCGGGGGCGCGGCGACCGAACCCUGCUCGGCCACCCUCGUUCGAUAGCGUGCUAGCGGACGCGGGAGCGGCAGUGCACCGGAACAGGCAAGCCAGCGGUUCGCUAAGGAUGCUGACGUAAUGGCUUUAAACGA
RNAcentral lists this ribosomal RNA (358 nucleotides) under uncultured Archaeospora. RNAcentral's name for it is "partial 28S ribosomal RNA". Lineage: Eukaryota; Fungi; Glomeromycota; Glomeromycetes; Archaeosporales; Archaeosporaceae. The record is from RNAcentral.